AACGAACGCUGGCGGCAGGCCUAACACAUGCAAGUCGAGCGAGGACUUCGGUCCUAGCGGCGGACGGGUGAGUAACGCGUGGGAACGUGCCCUUUGGUACGGAAUAGCCCCGGGAAACUGGGAGUAAUACCGUAUGUGCCCUUCGGGGGAAAGAUUUAUCGCCAAAGGAUUAGCCCGCGUUGGAUUAGAUAGUUGGUGGGGUAAUGGCCUACCAAGUCUACGAUCCAUAGCUGGUUUGAGAGGAUGAUCAGCAACACUGGGACUGAGACACGGCCCAGACUCCUACGGGAGGCAGCAGUGGGGAAUCUUAGACAAUGGGCGCAAGCCUGAUCUAGCCAUGCCGCGUGGACGAUGAAGGCCUUAGGGUUGUAAAGUCCUUUCAGAUGGGAAGAUAAUGACGGUACCAUCAGAGAAGCCCGGCUAACUCCGUGCCAGCAGCCGCGGU
RNAcentral lists this ribosomal RNA (445 nucleotides) under uncultured bacterium. RNAcentral describes it as "bacterial SSU rRNA". It matches the Rfam family "Bacterial small subunit ribosomal RNA", at positions 29 to 521 of the family's 1533-position model. The record is from RNAcentral.